UCACGAUAUCAAACAUUCAACAUAAAUAAACUUAAACUUAGUAAAAUCAUUACAUCAAAAUGCUACUAAUCCCAGGUACGUAGACCUUUAAACGUUUAUUACAUGAUAGUUUAAUAUUUACAAACAUAUAAACUAUUUAUCACAUCAACUUCCAACUAUUCUAUUACUUUUCCUUUUCCUUUGUCUUUUCCAGACCCUUCCACCCGAGUCUGCUCAGCUAAAAACAUUUAUAAUAAAACAAGUAAGAACAUUUAAUUGCUCAGCAAAUAAUAGCAUUCUUUAAGGCUCAACAAGAAAUAAAUAUUUUCUUUGAAGCAUGCUUUGACAGUGAAUCAAAACUGUAAAGUAAUAAAUCUUGAAUCAUUCACAUUUCUGGAAUAUCAUAACAAUAUUGAAUAACUGAAAGGUUUUAAGACCAUGAACAUAUUUUUCUUUUCUUGAAAAGGUUCAAUCAGAAAUUGAAUCUGCGAACCGUCUUAUCUUACGAGCACGUAGGGUGAUCAGCCCUUGAUGCCCUAUAUUGAUCAAUACUAUCUUAUACAGAACAAUUUUCAUGUUCUACAUCACCACUCCCAGAGUGCAAUAAAAAUAUCCCAUUUAAGGGUAUGUUCAUUCUCAGUUUUAAAUUCCAACUACAACAAUAUAGCUGGACAGCUUAAAUCAUGGCACAAUAAUAUUUCAACUUAAUAUAAAGAAAUUAAAAUAUUUUACAUCCGUGUCUGGCCAGAAGGAAUGGCUCAGACUUCUUUGCAACCUGCUCAUGCAUAUGAUAAUAUCUUACCCAAUCUUUUGAAGCUGAUUGGAAUAAAAAGAUUAUUCAAUCUUACAAUAUUCAUAAAUAAGGAAAGACAGUUCAAAAUUUAGAGAACAUGUCAACAUAUGAAUAAUCUCAGAAUACUUGCUCAAUAAAGAGUAAGAUUUAGAUACUUGCCUGUUUGUAGACUAUUUGUACAAUCUCAGCUUAACUUGUGUAUUCUUACAAAUCCUACACAAUUAUUUGCAUUUAUAAACAUAUUAGCCAAAUAAACAAGUCAUAUAGCUUGUAUGUUCACGUAUCACAUAGUCACGGUGAUCAUGUUUUGAGUUUAUAUUCUCAUACUUGAGAUAUGUAUUUACAUUUUUUAAAUAUCUCAUUCAUGUUCUUACAAUAGCCUUUUCUUUCCUUUGUAGGGUCUGACAUAAUUUCUGUUCAUGAUUUUAGUUCAUACUCCUUUUGCUUCUUUUCUCGUUUGCCAUAAGCAUACUUCACAAUCUUCUUUAUAACUUAGGUAUUCAAGGUGAAUACAUAAGGUAUUUCAUGAAUUAAGUAUGAUUGUUUAUCAUAAAGGUAGAACUUUAGUUUUCAAUUUGCUUUGAUUUUCUCUUAUCUUUACUUUUCUUGUCUUGCAGAUUCAUUUCAAGACGCUAUGGCUUAACCAUUCUUAUUUUUCUCCUAUGAUGUCAAAACAGCCCUUUAAGGCUUUAUUUCUUUUCAUUUGGCUUAAUAACUUCAAUAGUAUGUUCCCAUCUAUGCUAGCUUGGUUUUGGAGUUUACUAGUUCAUUUAUAUCACAUUUGAGUAUCUUAUAGAAUCAAUUAUAUCAACUAGUGUGUUAAAGCUAACAUAUUUUAACACUUUAAUCAAACAGUUCCCUCAAUGACCUUUUCUUUUAAAAAAAAAUCUAUCUUUUUCAUUAUUCAUCUAAUUAUAUUAGAUGAGUUUGUUAUAAAUCCUCCAUACUUGUUUAUUUGGGAAGUUAUAAACUUCUUAGUUAUAGUCAACUAUUAGCUAAAAUUUGAAUUUCAAAAGGACCCUUAACUCUUUGACACUGCCUAAAGCCAACUGCUGCUGCCAAUGGGCAGCAGCCCUUACUUCUUGGUUCCCAUUUUAGGAAAUUUUAAAUUCCUAUAUUUUAAAUCUACUCAUGCUAGAGUUUAGAACAUAUAAUAGAUGAGAUUUUUAUUUAUAAUUGAGAACUAUCAAAUAGGGUUCUAUAGUAAUAUAAGUGCAUUACCCAACAACUUUAGAAGAGCUCUCAAUCAAAACUUUUAAACUCACUGCUGCUGGUACAAGCUGCUGCCGCUGAGCAGCAGCUCUUUCUCUUGACCCCAUGCUUUGCUAUACCUUAAUACAUUAUUGUUAUCUAAAAGUACUAACUGCAGCCUUAAAAAAAAUAAGCAAACCAAUUUGCCAAAUUGGCCCUGCAGCGCAGCACAGCACAGCGCUGAGCUCUGGCUGCUGCUGCCUGCAGCAGGCCUGGCUUAGAGCAGCCACUCCCAGCCCCCUUUUGUGAUCCCAAAUUUCUUAUUACAUAAGUUCCUCAGUUCCAAUUCUCUUGUAUGGUGCAAAUAUUAUAGAAGACUAGAAAAAGAACAUUAGCCAUCUCCAUUUUUAAUCUCUUUGGACUGCACUAAACAGUACCCUGAGGUAACUUAACAUACGAAGUUUCAUUUUUUUAUUUUAACUUGAAAUUAAGUUUUCUUCUAAGUUGACACUCUCAAACACUCUAAUUAACAUCACAUAGGUUAUAUAAUCCAAGCCCAAGUUUCGUUUUGUCUAACAUUCAGUUUUUAGCCAAAACUGUUCAUUUAGAGCUUUUAUCAAACAUGUGGGGUGCACAGAUUGGUUUAAAUCAUAAACCUAUAUUAUUCUCCUUAUUACUCCACAGCCACUUAUCUCCGUGUGCCUAAAUUCAAUUCAUAGCAGUCAAUUACACAGCCAAAGCAUGAAGAUUCAAGCAAUUAAUAAAGUAAAUUUUUUUUUUUUUUUUAAACUAACUGUUCUGUUCUAAUGCUCAAUGCCCCAUCCUGCUUGAACAAUUAGAACAACAAUAAGCAACUAGUUGGUUUAUAUACCUUCUGAUCUUAACUCAUGCAAACCAAAAUAAUAAUACUUUCCAUACAUAUCCUAGUAGCCAUGAUCUCAUAAUUUUCAUUUCAGUUUGCGAAACCCCACUAGCUAACUCAUUAUACCAAAAUCUUUAUAUUACAAACAUAAUAUGAACAAAUUGUAAUACCUUUGUUUGCUUUGAAUUCUUGUUAACUGUUCCUAAACUUCACAGCCCAAGCGAAUAUCAGAGCUUCAAUUGUUAAUCUUUUCCUUCUGUUAGCCGAACAAUUUACUAGAGAUUUACAUGGAACAACUCAAUUGUGUUUAGGCAGAGAGGUGUCCAGGAAAUGGUCUUAGCAAAGAACAAAAUCGGAUGGGUAGAAAGAUAAACAGAGAAACCAUUUGAAAUCAUUGCUUUCAGAUGUAUUACCACCUAUUCUGUGCUGUAUAGCUUAACUGAGUAGGCUAGUCUAUGUAAACUGUAGAGGGACAGCUCCUACUUACCGAAAACUGACUCAGUUAAUUUCCCCCUAAUAAUGACAGCUCAUGCUGCUAAUUAGUUAACUGAUAAGUUUAACUUAAAGUAGCGUUUGGAUUAUCACAUGGGUAUAACUCAUUUCUUUUCCCUCUGCAUUUUACACAUCUUGUCCCCAUAUAUUGUUUACCAC
Molecule: long non-coding RNA, 3476 nt
Filed under: Panax ginseng (ginseng)
Lineage: Eukaryota; Viridiplantae; Streptophyta; Magnoliopsida; Apiales; Araliaceae
Description: long non-coding RNA (PGIN_LNC012843)
Source: RNAcentral